RNAcentral lists this ribosomal RNA (916 nucleotides) under uncultured archaeon. RNAcentral's name for it is "bacterial SSU rRNA". It matches the Rfam family "Archaeal small subunit ribosomal RNA", at positions 1 to 922 of the family's 1478-position model. The record is from RNAcentral.
UUCCCGGGGUUGAUCCUGCCGGAGGUCACUGCUAUCGGGGUUCGACUAAGCCAUGCAAGUCGAGAGGGGUCAAGCCCUCGGCGUACUGCUCAGUAACACGUGGAUAACCUGCCCUGAGGAAGGGGAUAAUCCCGGGAAACUGGGGAUAAUACCCUAUAGGCUACCGAUGCUGGAAUGCGCGGUAACCCAAAGCUCCGGCGCCUCAGGAUGGGUCUGCGGCCGAUUAGGUUGUUGUUGGGGUAACGGCCCAACAAGCCGGUAAUCGGUACGGGUUGUGGGAGCAAGAGCCCGGAGAUGGAUUCUGAGACAUGAAUCCAGGCCCUACGGGGCGCAGCAGGCGCGAAAACUUUACAAUGCGGGAAACCGUGAUAAGGGAACCCCGAGUGCCUGUAACCACAGGCUGUUCAGGUGUUUAAAACGCAUCUGGAGAAAGGGCCGGGCAAGACCGGUGCCAGCCGCCGCGGUAAUACCGGCGGCUCGAGUGGUGGCCACUAUUACUGGGCUUAAAGCGUCCGUAGCCGGGUUGUUAAGUCUCUUGGGAAAUCCAGCGGCUCAACCGUUGGGCGUUCAAGGGAUACUGGCAAUCUAGGGACCGGGGGAGGUGAGAGGUACUCUAGGGGUAGGAGUGAAAUCCUGUAAUCCUUGGGGGACCACCUGUGGCGAAGGCGUCUCACCAGAACGGCUCCGACGGUGAGGGACGAAAGCUGGGGGAGCAAACCGGAUUAGAUACCCGGGUAGUCCCAGCUGUAAACGAUGCGCGUUAGGUGUAUCGGUGACUACGAGUUACCGAGGUGCCGAAGAGAAAUCGUGAAACGUGCCGCCUGGGAAGUACGGUCGCAAGGCUGAAACUUAAAGGAAUUGGCGGGGGAGCACCACAAUGGGUGGAGCCUGCGGUUUAAUUGGAGUCAACGCCGGG